This is a long non-coding RNA of Carassius auratus (goldfish), 330 nucleotides long. RefSeq lists it as uncharacterized. The record is from RefSeq and is a predicted model, not a curated record. The transcript is spliced from 3 exons. Lineage: Eukaryota; Metazoa; Chordata; Actinopteri; Cypriniformes; Cyprinidae.
UACUCCUGUCAACUUUAUUGACUCUGUAGGAGCCAAAACCAUUAAAUCAGUGAUAAAGGAGUUUGCAACAGUUGACGUGAAAGUUGUGCUUGCUGGAUGUAGCAGGACCCUUCUCUCUGAUCUCAGGACACUUAAAUUCUUCUGUGAGCCCGUGACCCCUGACCUCAUUUUUCCCACCAUUCAUGACGCAGUGUUGCAUUGUAGGCACUCGAAGGACGUCCAGUGAGCACAAAGACCAAACUAGGUGGCAGAAUAUGGAUCGAGUCAUGCUAAAACAAGUACAAGUACUGUUACUCCUUAGUCACUUUAGUAAUGGAUAUCACUUUUGGA